AACUGAUACUACCUGCGGGAACCUGCGGAAGGAUCAUUACAAGUGACCCCGGUCUAACCACCGGGAUGUUCAUAACCCUUUGUUGUCCGACUCUGUUGCCUCCGGGGCGACCCUGCCUUCGGGCGGGGGCUCCGGGUGGACACUUCAAACUCUUGCGUAACUUUGCAGUCUGAGUAAACUUAAUUAAUAAAUUAAAACUUUUAGCAACGGAUCUCU
Molecule: unclassified non-coding RNA, 216 nt
Filed under: soil metagenome
Description: partial contains 5.8S ribosomal RNA, internal transcribed spacer 2, and large subunit ribosomal RNA
Source: RNAcentral